This 1102-nucleotide long non-coding RNA is filed under the name Canis lupus familiaris (dog). Its description in RNAcentral is "lncRNA (ENSCAFG00000058887.1)". The record is from RNAcentral. Lineage: Eukaryota; Metazoa; Chordata; Mammalia; Carnivora; Canidae.
CUGGCGCUGGCAGCGGCCGAGCCGGCUGCGGGGAGCUGGGGGGGCCCCGGGGGGCGGCGGAGCCCACAGCGGCGCGAGGCCGGAGCGCGGGCCGGGCUGGCGGGCGGGCGGGCGGGGCGGGGCCGCGAGCGUGCGCGCGCACCUCACCCUCGGCGCCCGGGGACGCCCACUGGCGGGUCGGGGCGCAGGCCGGCCCGCGCCACCCGCCCCCGCCCCCGCCCGCUUUCCCGGCCCCGUGCAGGCUGCGCGCAACGGGCGUCGGCCCUCGGCGGUGUGCGCCCGGCGGGCCUGGGAGGCAGGGGCCGAGGGCCGAGGACCGGGCCGCAGCCCCGCGCCGCCUCUCCCGCACCCGCCUCUCCCGCGCCCGCCGCUGAGGGCGACCCGAGGCGGCGCCGAGGAGGCCCCCGCGCAGGCCGGCGGGGCCGGGGCCGGGUCCGGGGCCGCCGCCGACCUCUGCCCGGCCGAGGCGCGGCCGCUCCUGCGCGCCCGGGGCCGCCGCCGCCGCCGCCGCCCCCUCAGCGCCGAGCGAGGAAUGAGCAGGCGCCUGCCCCGGGCUCUCGGGCCGCGGGGCCGCGGCUCGGCUUCUUCCCACGCCUCGGAGCCGCGGGGGCCGGGCCGCCGAGGCGGGGCGCGGCGGGGUCAGCGGCGGCCGCGUCCGGGCGGCGGGCGGCGGGGUUAGCUCCGGCGGCGGCGGGAGGAGGAGCCGGGCGGGGGCGGCCGCCGCGCCUCCGCUCCCCUCCCCUCCCCUCCCCUCCCCUCCCCCCGCACACGCCGGGGCUUCUCAGUGGCCGCGCGAGGAGGAAGUUCCGCUCCCCGCCAGACCCGUGCGCUAGCAACAGCGGCGGCGGCUGCGAGGGCGCAGGCUGUCGGGGCGCGGAUGCCCUUCGCGCCGGCCGUCGGGGGGGCGACGGCGGAACGGAGCCCGGAGCCCGAGCCGGAGCCGGAGCCCGAGCCGGAGCCCGGAGCCGGGGGGGCGGCGUCGGCGUCGGCGGGCGCGGGCGAGCGAGGGCCCCUUCCCGGAGCUGGCCCGGCGCCGCGGCUUCGCCUUCCCGGCGGGGCGGGAGACCUGCCUCCUUCCCUGCUGGCCGCCUGCCGAGCGUGG